Oncorhynchus gorbuscha (pink salmon) is the source of this 644-nucleotide long non-coding RNA. RefSeq lists it as uncharacterized. The transcript has 3 exons. NCBI's taxonomy places the organism in Eukaryota, Metazoa, Chordata, Actinopteri, Salmoniformes, Salmonidae. The record is from RefSeq and is a predicted model, not a curated record.
CAACCAGAUACAAUGUCAGGAAUCUCCUGGUAAGGCUUCUGGCAACCAUUAGUUCUGAAUACUGAGGUUUUGAUGAGAAAUAGCUGUGAGUUUUGAAAUGUCUUUGAGAAUUUCUUGGAUUUGUUGCCUGCUAAUUGGAGGCAUAACCUGUUAUCCUCCACCUAAAGGUAAUUAUAGAUACAUUCCCCAAAAUCAAGUAAAAGUAACUGGCUACAAUGCAGCGGAAGCUACCGGCUCCCGUGCCUCAGCAGGUGAAGCAGCCACCCAUAAUGCCUCUGCAAGCAUCACGACUGGCCCAAAUACCUUAGCUGAAGCAACUGGCCACAAUGCUUCAUCAAGCGCCACGACUGGUCCAAAUGCCUUAGCUGAAGCAACUGGCCACAAUGCUUCAUUUUUUUUAUUUAUCCAUUGUUUUACCAGGUAAGUUGACUGAGAACACGUUCUCAUUUGCAGCAACGACCUGGGGAAUAGUUACAGGGGAGAGGGGGAUGAAUGAGCCAAUUGUUAACUGGGGUUUAUUAUGUGACCGUGAUGGGUUUGAGGGCCAGAUUGGGAAUUUAGCCAGGACACCGGGGUUAACACACCUACUCCUACAAUAAGUGCCAUGGGCUCUUUAAUGACCUCAGAGAGUCAGGACACCCGUU